This is an RNA transcript of Anthonomus grandis grandis, 2717 nucleotides long. It is a transcript of the gene named acylamino-acid-releasing enzyme-like, with no coding region annotated. Lineage: Eukaryota; Metazoa; Arthropoda; Insecta; Coleoptera; Curculionidae. The record is from RefSeq and is a predicted model, not a curated record. The transcript has 15 exons.
UGUUCUAGUAAACAAUGAUUUAAGGAAAUUUAUUUUCAAAUUGCCCCAUUUCAUUACUUAGUGAAUUUUAUCUUAUCAGCUACCUGUGUAUUUAAUGCCAAAUGUUUAUUUUACAUUAAAAGCAUUUGAUUUGUUAUAAUAAUUAUUGCGUUUGAAGCCUUUGCAUUAUGAGUACCAAGCUGGAUAAGAUUGUUAAGACUUAUAGGUCUUUGGCCCAAGUGCCGGCCCUAGUAGGGGCUCAAAUUCACUCGCCGAACGUUAUUAAUACAGUUUGGUCACAAAGGAACAUAGAAAAAGGGUCUACGACUAAAUUUAGCCGGACCCUUUUGCUUAAUGACUUUGAGGUGCACGAUGAGACUUUGCCGGUGGAUGUGAGCAGCGAAAUACUAACUAAAACAUCAAAAUCUCAAAAGUUCAAAGCUGUACUGAGGGACCACGACUCGAAACAGUUCCUGGAAGUGUGGAAAAGCAGCAAUUUAAUAAGGGUUGUGGACUUGGCUGCCCUGGAUGUCCAUGGCAGUGUUUAUGCUGACAUUGAAUUUAGUUCCUUUGAAUUUUCUCCUGACGAGAGGAAACUGUUAUAUGUAGCAGAGAAAAAGGUGCCAAAAAGUGAACCUUUUUAUAAGAGAAAGAAGCCUGAGGAAGCAAAAGAUGGUGGGGAUGCACCUAAGCCAGCCCCAAAGGGGGAAGAAUACUGGUUUGAACAAGACUGGGGUGAACAACUCGUAGGAAAAAAGAAAUCAAUUUUAGCCGAAUACAACAUUGAAAAUGAUACAGUUGAACUCCUGAAAGGUUUACCCGAUAACGUUUGCGUAGCCAAACCGAAAUAUUCCUCUGACGGUAAUUUUAUCAUUGGCAUAUCCUAUUUUACUGAGCCCAGGAAGCUUGGACUAAUUUAUUGCACCAACAGGCCCAGCACGGUGUUUCAGUUGGACUUUGAGGGCAAUUAUGUGGAACUUUCUUUGAAAGACACCGCAGUUAAAUCCCCCGUAUUUACACCAAACGGGAAGGAAAUCGUGUGGCUGCAAAGGCCCAGUUUCGGACCCCAUAUGGCUUGCAUGGAAUUGGUUAAGGCUGAUUUUCCUUUGAAGGCUGAGACCGUCCCGAAAACUGUAGUGGAAAUUGUAAAAAGAAGCAAAAAAACGACAAACGACAAGGAUUUCUACGGCAUUUACAAUACCGGGUUCCCAAAGCGUCCUUGGGUGGGCCAGAACCAGCUGCUAAUAAAUACCAACCAAAAAUACACCAUAAACUCUUACCUCGUAAACAUCGAUAACGGGGAAAUAACUGAGUUGGAGUUCGCUGAGGGUAGCCAGCUGAUCAUAGAUACAAAGGACGAUCUAGUUCUAGCCCUGAGGCGUAACUUCUUAGUGCCAGACAAGCUGGUUAUAGGAAAACUCUCGGAAAAUCCGAUAAAUUGGACAGAAAUCACUUGUGCCCUAGAAGUACCAGAAGUAAACGGAGCCACUUAUCGGUAUUUGGACUUGGUGGCACCUGAGGGAGAUUUCCGUGAAUUUAACGCCCUGUACGUUGGCCCGGCCUCCGGUAAAGACCAGUCGGUUCCGUUGAUAGUGUGGCCCCACGGAGGGCCCCAUAGCGCCUUCGCCAAUUAUUUCUUUUUGGAGGCCGCCCUGUUUUUGUCUUUAGGUUACGGUAUCUGUCUUAUCAACUACAGGGGUUCAAUAGGACAAGGCAACGAUUCCAUCGAUUUCUUACCGGGUAAAGUCGGUACAUCUGACGUGGAGGACUGUAUCACGGCCACAGAAGCUGUACUAAAGCAAUUCCCGUGGAUCAGUCCGGAUAUGUUGUUCUUGUGCGGCGGGUCUCACGGCGGGUUUUUGGUCACGCAUUUGAGCGGCCAAUAUCCGGAUAAGUUUAAGUGCGUGGUGGCGCGGAAUCCGGUCGUAGAUGUCGCUUCGAUGAGUGCCAUCUCCGAUAUACCUGACUGGUGUUAUAUCGAAGGUAACAAUAAACCUUACACGCAAAAAGGCCCGAUAGAUGGCGAGUUGUUAUUAAAAAUGCGCGAGUGUUCGCCGAUAGUGCAUGCUCACAAGGUGAAGGCGCCUACGUUGUUGCAAGUGGGGUCCAAGGACUUACGUGUACCUCCUCACCAGAGUAAGGAGUAUUAUUGCAGGUUGAAAGCGAACGGAGUGAAAGUCAGGCCUAUCAGUCUUACAAGUAAUUGUAGAUGUGACAAAUGUAUAAAGAUUAGACUAGCGAAUUUUUUUAAAAUAAAUAAUAUGGAUUUCUUGAGGGUUGCAGUAAAUCAACUGUGCCAUGCAUCAACUGAUAACUGAAGUGAUACAAGAAAUGUUCUCAUAUCAGAUUGUUGCCUAAGAAAUGUCCAUUCUUUAUCUAAAGCCCUUUUAAGAAUAUUCCAAUAGUUCGUAAAGAUAUGAAGAAGAGUGACAAUUUGCUUAAAAACAUAGCAAAAAAAAAUGCCUCAACAAAAACUCCCUUAACUACUUCAAUUCUUAACCUAGAUUCCGGUUUUUACUCACAAGUCCAUCCUCAGGUAUCUUUUUAUAUUGAAUGUUACUAUACGACGACAACCACCCGAUUGCAAGCGUGCCAAACGAAAUAGACGAUAUUAUUAACGCGGUACUUUGGAUGGAAGACUGCUGGGGACGCGAUUCUUGCUAAAGAAAAAAAACCUGAUUUUAUAACACCCUCCUUUUUAUAUUUGCUACUACAAGUAAAGUUAGUUUUUAAAAGCA